Molecule: long non-coding RNA, 5458 nt
Organism: Pomacea canaliculata
Lineage: Eukaryota; Metazoa; Mollusca; Gastropoda; Architaenioglossa; Ampullariidae
Exons: 2
Source: RefSeq, a predicted model, not a curated record
UGGAAGCAGCAUACAAAGACCAAGGCUAUCAGUGUAAAUAGCCUUGCCUGCUCAUGUGUACACAAAUACAGCACUAACAUGCUAAUAGCUAAAUGUUGGUGUUUAACAAAAGGAAAUCACUAAGAUUGUGCAUUAACAUACAUUCAUAAAAAUUGCAGGUAAUAAUAUUACAAAAGGAAUAUACUUAAAACAUUUAACAAUGUUUGUGACCUUGCAUACAAUUACUUAUGCAUGACAUUCAUUCUUAAAAAAGUGUCACAAGAAUACAAAAGUUGAGUCUUUUCUGCCAGUCUUAAUGAAAACAAUCUGUCAAUCUUAAUUUCAAAACACUGAUCUCCCACCCCUUGACUAUUCCAUACAAAACCAAACUCAUAUUUGUAAAGAAAAAUAAUCACAUAAUGUAACAUGUAACCUUAUUGUCACGGUGUAAAUUAAGUAACAUCAUCCUUUUGACCUGCAAAAAAAAAAAGUUUCUGCCCGAGUGACUCAACCAUGCUUUCAAACACAUUAAAGGGAUAAAAUCUAAAGCUGGUUAACUUUCUACUACUGCCUCGGGCCUUGAUUACCUCCCUUACUAUGCUUGUUUGGGUAAAAGGGUGUGUGGGUUUUUUUUUAAAAUGUUGUUGAGCAUUUUUUGCUCUCAUAAUAAACAUAUAUCCAUCUUCUUCCCUCUCAGAUUUGUUCAAGUGUUGUAAUACAGACCAUAAGAUUCCACACCCCCACCCCUUUCCCUUGAGAUUUGCCAAACACCUAUUUGUCAUCUAUAAAGCUUGGAUAAAAUACAUUUGCAUGCGUUUCCUCUUUUAUUAAAAGAACUAGUUACCAGAUGAUGCUCUGAGCUGCAUACUGAGUAUUGGCAUAACCCAUGGACAUGCCAUAAACUAAUUAUUGCUUAGUACACUAUGAUCAUACAACAAUUAAAGUACUUUGUUUUCCCUUGUGGUUCGUGUUAUCUUUGAUACUCAAGAGCUUAUGGAUAACAUAAAAUUCUCUAACCAGAUGACGCUUUCCCGAAGUGAGUGGGUGGCUUGUUUGUUUUUUUUUUUUUUUUUUGUUGUUUACUAUCUCUCCCGCUCUUACACACAUAAGACAGACUGCGCACUUCUGCCUGAAAGGUCGCAAGCAGAGCGAUGUGAGAAGGAACACAAGGUGGAGAAUUGGGAGACGGUCCCCGAGAAGAGAACAAAACAACGACAAGCUCGCGCGUCUCCCAGUGCCCGCCUUAUCUCGCCACGGAGUGUCGCUCCUUGCCCCCGAGCACCGUUGUUUGCUACAUCGCCAGCGGCACACACACACCUUGCAAUCAGUCGGCCAAAUAAGUACACAGGUAGGUGCGAGCUUGCCAACUGGAAUGCCGUCUCUUUGUUUCACCCACCAUUGCCGAGCACACCGCGCCAGGUCCUGAGCGAGGAGACGCACAAAGAGGGAAGGGAGGGUUAGCGGACGACAUCGGCCUGUGUCGUCAUCUAGCGUGGCAAAUGAUGAUGAAGGUCUCAUUGUCUCACAUCUCAUCUUCCUUGACACUCGUGCAGUGUGCGGCCGUGUCAGGGUUGUUGUCACCUCCGGUCUACGUUGCCUAUCACGUGAUAUGCAAAUGCAGGUCAUAAACGUAAAACGUCGCUCGGUGUUUACAGCUGCCAGCUGCAAAAAAUCCAAGGAAGAAUGAUUUUCAUGCAUGCACACACACAAUAUGAAAACUCUUAGCUCAGUUUAGUUCUUUCUUUCAAUCUUUAUAUUUACUAUUAACCUGUUUUUGUUUUUAAUAAUGGCAUUACAGUGUGCAUUUAUAUGCUGUCUCACCAGUAAAUAUCCAUUGAAAGUGGAGAAACAUCUGCCAAACCUCAAAAUAACACAAACUGUUAAAAAAAUUUUCAUCGCUAAAUAAAUUUUGCCUUGACAAAAACAUUAGCAAUGCCUGGUAAAAUCUGAUCACUAAACUUCGACCUCGGUGAUUCAUUAAACCUAACCAUACUGGUCAUGUGCUAUUCGUUUUCAUCUAGACUUUGAAGGUUCCCCAUAUGCAGAACUUGUUCAUAAACAAGUAUUUCUUGUUCAUAAACAAGUAUUUAUUAAUAUUUUAAAUUUAGUGGAGAAAUUGUGUUUUACAUUGGUGAACGAGCACGAGCAGCUGAGGCUAUAUCACGGCAAAGCUUCAAGCGCAGUAAACAAAUUUAUGGAGCACGAGCUGACAUACAUUGUUAGGCGAAUAUGAGAUUGUAAACAUAUGGAAAAAGAACCAAACCAAUUUAUGACAUCAGAAAAUUUAACAAAGAAAAAAAGGAAAUUGGGAAAGAAAAAAAAUGUUUAUACGGACAACGAAUCACACAUUGCCGAAAAUAGUCAUCAUCUGCUAUGAACUUUCACAAAACACAUCAGAUACUGCAUUAUGGUUGAGAUACUUGAGAUACCCGAAAGAUGCAAGGUGGUCGGUCACAAUAAUGCAUGUACCAUCUUACUACUGUUAGCACAAUAGUGUUGCUUGUUCAUGGCAUCAGCCCUACAUACAGGUCUCGAAACCGAGAACGAUGACAACCGUCUGCCCAGACCCUCCCUCAUCUGCUUGCAGGCAUGUCUGCAGCAUUCGAUAAUGUCAGGUAAAUACAUAAUGUAUAAAUGAUACGGCUGCGCUGACACUGUACAGCGAACCAGAAAAUAAUGCUGUCAGGGGAAAUUUCCCUUUGUUUGCAAAAUGACAUUUAAUUUCUGUGAAACUGAAAUACAACCCCGUCUGAGAUAUAAUGUUUCGUAUUCCACAAGAAUAGUUCUCAAAACACAAUACAGCAGGCUUGAGUAGGGAUCCACCUGCCUCUUGAAUCACUGGAACACAAACAAGUAUGUAACCGUUGCAAAUAAAUAAACAAACCCGAUCUAGAUGAAAUGCCAUCAGCAUUAUUAUAAUUCCUGAGGAGAUCGAGAUGACACAAACAGAACUUAGGUCACAGAAAUGUAAGUGGGAAACAAAACGUGAAAUUUCUCUGUGGCUUCUCUGCGUGCUCUCGUAAGCCACUAUCAGACGCAGUGUUUGAGACGGUCCCCAGCCUAGGCCGCCCACUGAAGGUCGUGAGAGGGAGUGGGGAUGGGGUGGCACGGCAUUGAUCUUGGUGUCGGGGCCAGGAGGACAAUGACAAGCUAUUGUGGCGGCUACCAGCCCCAGCUCUAGUCUCCCUGCCAUGCACGCCAAGUCAGGCCGCGCGAAUUAGCAGCCACCUGUAGAUGGUGUGGACUCCAGUUCCACCUCCCGCUAGAUUCUCUCUGGGGUUACUAGCACACAAUACCAAGGUGACGGUCUCGCACUGAACGUUGACCUCUGACAGCAAACAGCCCCCCCACUCCAGGCUACCGGAGCUGUAAAGAACGGGGCUUCUAACCAUCAAGUUAUUUGUACCCUGCGCAGGAUCCCCCUUCCAGGUCCCCCCUCCUACAGCUACUUACCUUUCAAGGUGUGAAUACCAGUGAUAACAUGGGGUAAGUGGCACACCACUGUCAAUCUAGUUGGAUUGACAAGCUACCACAUCAACAGACGCGAAAUAAGGCAGGAGACCAAAGGCCUGGAAAGUACCAUACCCAUGUGAAAAGCUGUGAAACCUCCCUUCUCUAGCUGUGUUUAUUUACAUCAACACACAACGAUCAAUAUUCAUCAUCGUCAACGAGGUGUGCUCACCGCCAGGUAACAAUCUCCUCAUUACUUACACCAUUGCUGUUUAUACUAUCUAGAGCACAUGCUGUAAGCUGUAUCGGCCUGUCCUGGCAACACCCAACUAGCCAGUGAAGUGCACGAGCAAUUCCAGCCAAUAUUGUUUUACAAGAUAUUAUUACGCUACACCUGUUCUCUUAUCUUUUUCUCUCAACCCCCUCCCUCGCCAUUACGCCAACUAGAGAGCGAAGCGCGUGAAGAGUGGGGGAGGUGAGAGUGGCUGACCCCCAGGCCGUGCCACCUCCUACAGUCAUGCACGCGCAUAGUCCUUGGCCCUCGAUCGAAGGACGGGGCAUGCACGCCACUCACCAGCCUUCGCGUGCUCGACCCACGCCACUAAGAACGAGCUCUAACCCUUGGGGAGGGGAGUGGGAAGAAAAGAACCGCUAGGUGAUGGAAGCUGUGGUGAGUGUCGGCUGUUUCCCCACUCAGCUCGGUAUGAAUGCUCGUGCUUGACACUGCAAGAUACUUGCCAUCAGUUGGGCAACGCCGACUAACCUACUAAUACAUCAGCAAUGGCUACGGGAGAAGGGUGGUUUUAUCUCAAAAGACGUCUAUCAUCGUUAUCAAUUGUCUGCCACUUUCUCAUCAGCACCACCCCUCCACCCACCUACACACUACAGCUAAACUAGGUCACAGCCUGCUGCAGACUUUUCUGUUCACCCGCAUCACUCAAAUCGAGAGGGAGCGCAUCGUUUGUCAUCUAACGUAACAAACCUUGAAAAGAGGAGGGUAAAAUCACAGCACCCACUUGUAUAGUCUGCAUUACUGGCAGGCGAAUGCUGCAGCGGCAGGGUUUGUGACAGACCCUCGUCCCCACACAGAAGAGCCAUGGAAUGACCUCUGCCAAGACACCCCUCCCACACAAGCAGCGGUGUCAUCGCUCUAAUACCAGGAUCUAAACAAUAGGGCUGCGUCCGUUCCCUGGGCAACCUGCUUUUGGAGUCUGCCCGCCUGGUGAGGCAGGGAGCGCCAGUCGAUGGACCUUCCCUAGCCCCCUGCUGUCUGCCUCACAGCUGACCCAAUCGAUGGCUGUGUUUGAGCCUGCAGAUCGAUCGGCCUUUUCACCAGGACACCCUCUUAUCCCCUCCACCACCACAGAACGGAUUCCUCCUUCAAUCUCCGCGCUACUGGAACCUUCGGCCGGAUCUGUUUUGAUCCCUCCCUCCCCCCAACCCUCGCCACUUUCUGGAGACUACCGGUCUCUUCCCUCCUUCUCUCCCCAGUCUUUCCCUUCUAUCAAUCGACACAGCACGACUCUGAAAUCGCACCAGAAAAAAAGCAAGAACAAAUCUUCAAGAGGAUCCCCCAACCUCCUACCUGCUACGCAAACACCCCACCUCCAGUCUCAGUAAGUCGUAGAACCAGAAGCUGGGCAGGACAGAGGAAAAGAGCAAGUCGCUGGCAGUUGUCCAAGCAACAGUACAUACUGUAAACAAACCUGGCCGCGGUGCUGGCCUCAUGCCUGUUGCCGCCUUGUGGGAGAAGUCUGGGGGAUGGUCCCUGGCCAAGAAGAAAGAGACAACUAGGGCACUGACUCAUCGUGCUGUAGGCUGCCACCUCAGUGCCCCUUGCCACCUCUCCCGCGUAGCUGCUUCUCGGGGUCCGUUUCAAAAUCGCUGGCUGCUCCAAAAACUGCCAUUUCCUUCGCGAUCGCAACAGGCUUUACAGCGGAGGUUCUCAACCUUUUUCGUGACUGUACCCCAAAAGGGUGAAGGUAUGUCCGCGGUUACCUCUCGCGCAUUAAAGUUCUUAUUUUCAUAA